RNAcentral lists this ribosomal RNA (429 nucleotides) under Gemmatimonadota bacterium. RNAcentral's name for it is "Gemmatimonadetes bacterium partial 16S ribosomal RNA". It matches the Rfam family "Bacterial small subunit ribosomal RNA", at positions 355 to 776 of the family's 1533-position model. Lineage: Bacteria; Pseudomonadati; Gemmatimonadota. The record is from RNAcentral.
UAGGGAAUCUUCGGCAAUGGACGAAAGUCUGACCGAGCAACGCCGCGUGAGUGAAGAAGGUUUUCGGAUCGUAAAACUCUGUUGUUAGAGAAGAACAAGGACGUUAGUAACUGAACGUCCCCUGACGGUAUCUAACCAGAAAGCCACGGCUAACUACGUGCCAGCAGCCGCGGUAAUACGUAGGUGGCAAGCGUUGUCCGGAUUUAUUGGGCGUAAAGCGAGCGCAGGCGGUUUCUUAAGUCUGAUGUGAAAGCCCCCGGCUCAACCGGUGAGGGUGAUUGGAGACUGGGAGACUUGAGUACAGAAGAGGGGAAUGGAAUUCCGUGUGUAGCGGUUAAAUGCGUAUAUAUAUGGAGGAACACCAGUGGCGAAGGCGACUCUCUGGUCUGUAACUGUCGCUGAGGCUCGAAAGCGUGGGGAGCAAACAGG